Long non-coding RNA from Cephus cinctus (wheat stem sawfly), 2280 nucleotides. RefSeq lists it as uncharacterized. Lineage: Eukaryota; Metazoa; Arthropoda; Insecta; Hymenoptera; Cephidae. The record is from RefSeq and is a predicted model, not a curated record. The transcript is spliced from 2 exons.
UAACGGUCGUAAGGACGUUUCGAUGUCUCGCGUCAUCUGCCCAGUGGUUUCAUUAGACCAAUUAUCACGCUGGUUAACCAAACUCGUAGCUGGGCAAAAAGCUCGUUAUAACGGUAGCCCGAAGAAACGCGCGUCGAGUGCACCUGGCAAAAUUGCAUGGGAAAAGUUACAUUGCCUUCGUAAUGAGCGAAGCUACAGUUGGUAGACGCGUUCCGGCUUUCCGCGGAAAUUAUUAUAACCCCGCGUAUAUACAAAGUGUCUGUGCUACUAAUAAAAACGGUCUUUUUAAUUAGAUGAUCACGGUUAAGAGAAUUCUCCAGUAGCUGUCAGCCGCGCGAGUGAGGUUAUGUUGGCCGUGAGUACGGCGAGUGCUUGAUACAAAUUAAAAUCUAGAGUGAGACAUUUACAAACAAUGCAUUAUUUAUUUCAUUCGAGUUAAACACGUCGACAUUAAUUUUUGGAAAUGCAUACGAUUUCCUACGUCUGCUAAUUAACCAUACGGAACGAACAAGGUUUUAGAAUUUCCAUCUGUUACCAAAUUAGUCAGACCUAGAAUGUCUGUUACGCUAUGUACAUGGGCUUACACGGUAGUAAAAUCCGCGCAUGCGCAACCCGUGGCCAUGCACUAUUUGCAUAGCAGUCGAAGGAUCAAAUCCGCAGAUAACUUUUUUGCACAAUUUGAAACAGCGCAAAGACAAGAAACCAAGAUUACACGGGUCCUCGUACCCGAGCAACGGUAGCAAUGGCAUCGCGAUGGUAAUUUCGCAAAAGCAUCCAAGAGAGCACCCCACGAGGAUAUAAAUUCGGGGAAAGACGGCGGAAACGUAAAAGAGAGCAUAAAAUCCCGCUCUGAAGGCCGUCUCGCUUGAUACAGUCCCAAGGGUUAAGCGCGACGGGCUUUAAAAGAUUAAGAAACGUCCAAUAGCCGAGUGACAGGUGGAGGAAGAAAAUUAAAAAAAAAAAUUUCAUCCAAAGACUCUGCGAGAGAACCAAAAAAAAUGGCGGCCACGUAUUUUACAAUUGGUAAACCCAGCAGAGACCACGCCGUAAGGGGAUGGAUGAGUAAAGACCGGAGGGGUAAGAAAAAUAAAAUAUAAAUAAAGAUACAAGUGGAUAAUUGAAUUACAGAAAGAAGAGCUAUGGCGGUGCCUGAACUCUCUUGUGUUCAACCUGGGGGUUGAAUUGCGACACAGGGUUCGCAUGUGAACGAUCCCCCCGAGCAAUACACCCUUCACUCGACGUGCAGCUCUCGCGUCGCCUACACCGCCCGAAAAUAGACGACUACCACGCUCCAUGCAUAUGCAGCUGAAGAUCUCCGAGAGGCCAACGACAGAGACUAUGCAUCGGGAUGCACCGAAGUAACGGUCGGGUCUGCGUGCGUCAGACAGAGACAAGGAGAACGGACUACAAGGGGUGGGAAGGAACAAUACGUUCGACAGAGAGGUACCUCUACGUAUGCUCCACAUAGAGUUCACCUGGCACGUGACGAGCAACCGAAUCGCUCUGGCAUCAUUGUGAAAGGGUAGAGAUGUGACUUAAUAGAUAUACCUAUUGUGAAAAUUGGAACAGCAGUGCGGAAAUCAGUGUACCGUGGGUGCCUGGUGGGAUCGGUGGGAAAAUUUUAGUGCAUCGACAGUGGAUAAAAUGUUCCACAAAGUGACUUAUACCGGGUGUACAAAUAUUAAUCAGCCGAUAAUACGAACGACAGGUACUUUUUAAGCGCAGCUGCACCUAUAUGCAACGAAGAAGUGCAAUCGAUAUGAAAAUCAUACAUUUAAUAAGAUACAGGAUUUCUCAUUUAAAAUUAGACUGCUAAAGUUUUCCAGUACCACCCGAUAAGCCGGUAAGUCUUAUUAACGUGGAUGACAGCGAUCGAUACGAGAGAGACUUAUUGGACGGAUGGAUAGGAGCGAGAGAGAAAAAAGGGAGCAGAGCACAGGGGAGCGAAAGAGUAAACUGAAAAUUCAAGUGCUUCGUUUUAAUGCGCUCAAAGUGUUCAAAUCGGAGGAGUCACUUUUUAAAAAAUUUAUAAGAGCCCCAACACUUGCCCGUCAAUGCUUAUCACUCUUAUGAACGUUUAAAAAGUGAUUACGGCAAAUUAAAUACCUAGUGUGUUAAUACGAGGCACUUGGAUUGCCAGUGAAGUGGUGAAUCUCGCAUAUAUCUCUGGGGGGGGAGGGGGGGAAUAUCUCUGGUCCGGAGGCUGAGGUAAAAAUAGCAUGUAAAUAAAUCUGAUACAGCAUAAACUAACUCGCGUGUCUAAUAAAUAUAUUUGGCUUA